CGUGAUUAACCAACAUGCAAGUCGAACGGAAAGGCCUGCAGCUUGCUGCGGGUACUCGAGUGGCGAACGGGUGAGUAACACGUGGGUGAUCUGCCUUGCACUUCGGGAUAAGCUUGGGAAACUGGGUCUAAUACCGGAUAGGACAGCUGUUUAGUGUCAGUUGUAGGAAAGUUUUUUCGGUGCAAGAUGACGCUCGCGGCCUAUCAGCUUGUUGGUGGGGUAAUGGCCUACCAAGGCGUCGACGGGUAGCCGGCCUGAGACGGGUGUACGGCCACAUUGGGACUGAGAUACGGCCCAGACUCCUACGGGAGGCAGCAGUGGGGAAUAUUGCACAAUGGGCGGAAGCCUGAUGCAGCGACGCCGCGUGGGGGAUGAAGGCCUUCGGGUUGUAAACUCCUUUCGACAGGGCACGAACGCGUAAGUGACGGUACCUGUAUAAGAAGCACCGGCUAACUACGUGCCAGCAGCCGCGGUAACUCACGUACGGUGCGAGCGUUGUCCUGGAAUUACUGGGCGUCCACGAGCUCGUAGGUGGUUUAGUCGACAGUCAAUCUGUGAAACACUUCCAGGGGCUCUACCUACCGUGGCUGUUGCAAGUGCGAUACGGGCUUCGACUCCGACUCG
RNAcentral lists this ribosomal RNA (624 nucleotides) under uncultured Actinomycetes bacterium. RNAcentral's name for it is "bacterial SSU rRNA". It matches the Rfam family "Bacterial small subunit ribosomal RNA", at positions 43 to 644 of the family's 1533-position model. Lineage: Bacteria; Bacillati; Actinomycetota; Actinomycetes. The record is from RNAcentral.